Cyprinodon variegatus (sheepshead minnow) is the source of this 250-nucleotide long non-coding RNA. RefSeq lists it as uncharacterized. The transcript is spliced from 3 exons. The record is from RefSeq and is a predicted model, not a curated record. NCBI's taxonomy places the organism in Eukaryota, Metazoa, Chordata, Actinopteri, Cyprinodontiformes, Cyprinodontidae.
AGGUUUAAAAGAAAAGUCUGUGGAUUUAGACCCGAGGGAAGAGUCUGUAGAUCAGAAUUUCAACUGGAUCUACGCAGUGGUUGUAGUAACUCUGGCCUGUUCUUGUUGUCUCGCAAUCUUCACCUACUGGAGAUAUAAAACUUAUAAAAACAGGGGCCCCGAGCAGAACAAAACACCACUAAGAGAAACGCCUAAGGAAGGGUGAGAACAUUUUCGCACAGAAAGUAAUUUAGUUCUGUUUGUGAUGUGG